Molecule: ribosomal RNA, 491 nt
Filed under: uncultured Actinomycetes bacterium
Lineage: Bacteria; Bacillati; Actinomycetota; Actinomycetes
Description: bacterial SSU rRNA
Rfam family: Bacterial small subunit ribosomal RNA
Source: RNAcentral
CAGGGAAUCUUGCGCAAUGGGCGAAAGCCUGACGCAGCAACGCCGCGUGGGGGAUGAAGGCCUUCGGGUUGUAAACCCCUUUCAGGAGGGAAGAAAUUGACGGUACCUCCAGAAGAAGGACCGGCCAACUACGUGCCAGCAGCCGCGGUAAUACGUAGGGUCCGAGCGUUAUCCGGAAUCAUUGGGCGCAAAGAGCUCGUAGGCGGUUCAGCAAGUCGGCUGUGAAAGUCCGAGGCUCAACCUCGGAAUUGCAGUCGAUACUGCUGUGACUCGAGUCCGGUAGAGGAGAAUGGAAUUCCCGGUGUAGCGGUGAAAUGCGCAGAUAUCGGGAGGAACACCAGUAGCGAAGGCGGUUCUCUGGGCCGGCACUGACGCUGAGGAGCGAAAGCGUGGGGAGCAAACAGGAUUAGAUACCCUGGUAGUCCACGCCGUAAAACGUUGGAUACUAGGUGUGGCGUCGUUACCAACGACUGCCGUGCCGAAGCUAACGC